CAGUCGAGCGGAACGAGUUAUCUGAACCUUCGGGGGACGAUAACGGCGUCGAGCGGCGGACGGGUGAGUAAUGCCUAGGAAAUUGCCCUGAUGUGGGGGAUAACCAUUGGAAACGAUGGCUAAUACCGCAUGAUGCCUACGGGCCAAAGAGGGGGACCUUCGGGCCUCUCGCGUCAGGAUAUGCCUAGGUGGGAUUAGCUAGUUGGUGAGGUAAGGGCUCACCAAGGCGACGAUCCCUAGCUGGUCUGAGAGGAUGAUCAGCCACACUGGAACUGAGACACGGUCCAGACUCCUACGGGAGGCAGCAGUGGGGAAUAUUGCACAAUGGGCGCAAGCCUGAUGCAGCCAUGCCGCGUGUGUGAAGAAGGCCUUCGGGUUGUAAAGCACUUUCAGUCGUGAGGAAGGUAGUGUAGUUAAUAGCUGUAUCAUUUGACGUUAGCGACAGAAGAAGCACCGGCUAACUCCGUGCCAGC
RNAcentral lists this ribosomal RNA (473 nucleotides) under bacterium 1611-S4-01-3.1.2. RNAcentral's name for it is "bacterial SSU rRNA". It matches the Rfam family "Bacterial small subunit ribosomal RNA", at positions 59 to 512 of the family's 1533-position model. The record is from RNAcentral.